This 466-nucleotide ribosomal RNA is filed under the name Vreelandella stevensii. RNAcentral's name for it is "partial 16S ribosomal RNA". It matches the Rfam family "Bacterial small subunit ribosomal RNA", at positions 338 to 795 of the family's 1533-position model. The record is from RNAcentral. Lineage: Bacteria; Pseudomonadati; Pseudomonadota; Gammaproteobacteria; Oceanospirillales; Halomonadaceae.
CCUACGUGGGGGCAGCAGUGGGGAAUAUUGGACAAUGGGCGAAAGCCUGAUCCAGCCAUGCCGCGUGUGUGAAGAAGGCCUUCGGGUUGUAAAGCACUUUCAGUGGGGAAGAAAGCCUUGGGGCUAAUACCCUCGAGGAAGGACAUCACCCACAGAAGAAGCACCGGCUAACUCCGUGCCAGCAGCCGCGGUAAUACGGAGGGUGCGAGCGUUAAUCGGAAUUACUGGGCGUAAAGCGCGCGUAGGCGGUCUGAUAAGCCGGUUGUGAAAGCCCCGGGCUCAACCUGGGAACGGCAUCCGGAACUGUCAGGCUAGAGUGCAGGAGAGGAAGGUAGAAUUCCCGGUGUAGCGGUGAAAUGCGUAGAGAUCGGGAGGAAUACCAGUGGCGAAGGCGGCCUUCUGGACUGACACUGACGCUGAGGUGCGAAAGCGUGGGUAGCAAACAGGAUUAGAUACCCGAGUAGUC